UUGUGGAUCGUAAGGUUUGCUGGAGGUAUCAGAAGUGCGAAUGCUGACAUGAGUAACGACAAAGGGGGUGAAAAACCUCCUCGCCGGAAGACCAAGGGUUCCUGUCCAACGUUAAUCGGGGCAGGGUGAGUCGACCCCUAAGGUGAGGCCGAAAGGCGUAAUCGAUGGGAAACGGGUUAAUAUUCCCGUACUUCUGACUAUUGCGAUGGGGGGACGGAGAAGGCUAGGUGGGCCAGGCGACGGUUGUCCUGGUUCAAGUGCGUAGGCUUGAGAGUUAGGUAAAUCCGGCUCUCUUUAAGGCUGAGACACGACGUCGAGCUGCUACGGCAGUGAAGUCAUUGAUGCCAUGCUUCCAGGAAAAGCCUCUAAGCUUCAGAUAGUCAGGAAUCGUACCCCAAACCGACACAGGUGGUCGGGUAGAGAAUACCAAGGCGCUUGAGAGAACUCGGGUGAAGGAACUAGGCAAAAUGGUACCGUAACUUCGGGAGAAGGUACGCUCUUGAUGGUGAAGUCCCUCGCGGAUGGAGCUGACGAGAGUCGCAGAUACCAGGUGGCUGCAACUGUUUAUUAAAAACACAGCACUGUGCAAAAUCGCAAGAUGACGUAUACGGUGUGACGCCUGCCCGGUGCCGGAAGGUUAAUUGAUGGGGUUAGCGCAAGCGAAGCUCUUGAUCGAAGCCCCGGUAAACGGCGGCCGUAACUAUAACGGUCCUAAGGUAGCGAAAUUCCUUGUCGGGUAAGUUCCGACCUGCACGAAUGGCGUAAUGAUGGCCACGCUGUCUCCACCCGAGACUCAGUGAAAUUGAAAUCGCUGUGAAGAUGCAGUGUACCCGCGGCUAGACGGAAAGACCCCGUGAACCUUUACUACAGCUUGGCACUGAACAUUGAACCUACAUGUGUAGGAUAGGUGGGAGGCUAUGAAGACGUGACGCCAGUUGCGUUGGAGCCGUCCUUGAAAUACCACCCUUGUAUGUUUGAUGUUCUAACUUAGACCCAUUAUCUGGGUUGAGGACAGUGCCUGGUGGGUAGUUUGACUGGGGCGGUCUCCUCCCAAAGAGUAACGGAGGAGCACGAAGGUGGGCUAAUCACGGUUGGACAUCGUGAGGUUAGUGCAAUGGCAUAAGCCCGCUUAACUGCGAGAAUGACGGUUCGAGCAGGUGCGAAAGCAGGUCAUAGUGAUCCGGUGGUUCUGUAUGGAAGGGCCAUCGCUCAACGGAUAAAAGGUACUCCGGGGAUAACAGGCUGAUACCGCCCAAGAGUUCAUAUCGACGGCGGUGUUUGGCACCUCGAUGUCGGCUCAUCACAUCCUGGGGCUGAAGUCGGUCCCAAGGGUAUGGCUGUUCGCCAUUUAAAGUGGUACGCGAGCUGGGUUUAGAACGUCGUGAGACAGUUCGGUCCCUAUCUGCCGUGGGCGUUGGAAGAUUGAAGGGGGCUGCUCCUAGUACGAGAGGACCGGAGUGGACGAACCUCUGGUGUUCGGGUUGUGUCGCCAGACGCAUUGCCCGGUAGCUAAGUUCGGAAUUGAUAAGCGCUGAAAGCAUCUAAGCGCGAAGCGAGCCCUGAGAUGAGUCUUCCCUGAUACUUUAAGUAUCCUAAAGGGUUGU
RNAcentral lists this ribosomal RNA (1604 nucleotides) under Vibrio cholerae. RNAcentral's name for it is "bacterial LSU rRNA". It matches the Rfam family "Bacterial large subunit ribosomal RNA", at positions 1254 to 2838 of the family's 2925-position model. Lineage: Bacteria; Pseudomonadati; Pseudomonadota; Gammaproteobacteria; Vibrionales; Vibrionaceae. The record is from RNAcentral.